GAGGUCUGGCUGCCACUGAUAUUAAUUUUAAAGGGCCGCGGUAUUUUAACCGUGCGAAGGUAGCAUAAUCAAUAGUCUUUUAAUUGGAGGCUUGAAUGAACGGUCGGACAUAAGGAAAGCUGUCUACGAUCAGUUGUAGUGAACUUAACUUUUGUGUGAAAAGGCAUUAAUAGAUUAGUGGGACGAUAAGACCCUAUAAAACUUGAUAAUUGGUUGUGUAUCUUAUGAUUUAAGGGUAAAGCAAGAUACAGGAAUUUUAUUGUGCUGGGGCGGCAAAAAUAAAAUUUUAACUGUUUUUAACAUAAAAUAAUCAUAAUUAGAAGGUGACCCCGAACUUUGGGUUGUAAGAUUAAGUUACUUUAGGGAUAACAGCGUUAUUUCUCUUGAGAGUUCAUAUCGACAGAGAUAUUUGCGACCUCGAUGUUGAAUUAAAAUUUUUUUCGGGAGUAGGAGUUCGAAGAAUAGGUCUGUUCGACCUUUAAAAUUUUACAUGAUUUGAGUUCAAACCGGUGUGAGCCAGGUA
RNAcentral lists this ribosomal RNA (523 nucleotides) under Alpheus samudra. RNAcentral describes it as "partial 16S ribosomal RNA". It matches the Rfam family "Bacterial large subunit ribosomal RNA", at positions 1896 to 2632 of the family's 2925-position model. Lineage: Eukaryota; Metazoa; Arthropoda; Malacostraca; Decapoda; Alpheidae. The record is from RNAcentral.